AAUGGUGUUUCCUUCCCGCCUUUCCCACUUCUCACCAGCGUUACCUUCCCGCCAUUCCUACUUCUCCUCAACGACGUUACCUUCCCUCUGUUCCCACUUCUCACUGGCGUUACCUUCAUGCUGUUCCUACUUCUCCUCAUGCCAUUACCUUCCUGCCAUUCCCACUUCUCCUCACGCAUUACCUUCCUGCUGUUCCCAAUUCUCUCUGGCGUUACCUUCCUGCUGUUCUGCCGUUCACGCGUGUUUAUAUGUGUUUGCAUGUGUUUACAUGUGUUUGCAUGUGCCUGUGUCUGCAUAUGCGCAUUUCCCUGAAUCGACGGAGGUUUUCCAGCUCUGGCUGUGACAAUGUGGAUUACUGGUGCCAUUGUUAAUUUUAGGUCCAUUUGACUGGGCUAAGGGAUGCCCAAGUAGCUGGUAAAAGAUUGUUUCUGGGUGUGUUUCUGGAAGAGAUCAGUGUUUGAAUCCAUAGACCGAGUCAAGAGGGUCUGCCCUCCCCAGUGUGGGCAUCAUGCAAUCUGCCAAGGACCUGCAUAGAACACAGACAUGGAGGACAGGAAAACUCUCUCUGCUGGAGGUGGAACAUCUCUCUUCUCCUGCCUUCAAACACUGGCCUCGGUGAUUCUUGGGCCUUCAAACUUGAACUGAAUUACACCGUGACCAGCUCUCCCUGUUCUCCAGCCUGCAGAUGGCAGACCAUGGGACUUCUCUGCCUUAAUAAUUAUGUGUGCCAAUUCCUAUAAUAGAUUUUCUCUCUCUCCAUCAAUAAUCAAUCAUGUAUCCAUCCAUCCAUCCAUCCUUCCCUGUCUCUCUAUCUUUCUAUCUAUCAUCUAUCUAUGUUAUGUUUAUCUAGAGAACCCUGACUAAUAAAAUUGGUUUUGAAUUUCAUUCUUUAAAGCAGUUAAAUUAAAAUGAAACAGAAAAGACA
Long non-coding RNA from Homo sapiens (human), 925 nucleotides. Ensembl annotates it as long intergenic non-protein coding RNA 1168. The record is from Ensembl. Lineage: Eukaryota; Metazoa; Chordata; Mammalia; Primates; Hominidae.